AAACGUUACUUGUCGUGCGCAACGCGCGUUACUCGGGUACUUUAGGCUGUGCCAAUUUCGAAUCAGUCAGGUACCUGAAGUAGCGCGCGCUGCGGCGAAA
RNAcentral lists this microRNA precursor (100 nucleotides) under Apis mellifera (honey bee). Its description in RNAcentral is "microRNA ame-mir-275 precursor". Its record names the gene ame-mir-275. It matches the Rfam family "mir-275 microRNA precursor family". The record is from miRBase by way of RNAcentral. Lineage: Eukaryota; Metazoa; Arthropoda; Insecta; Hymenoptera; Apidae.